This 460-nucleotide ribosomal RNA is filed under the name uncultured bacterium. RNAcentral's name for it is "partial 16S ribosomal RNA". It matches the Rfam family "Bacterial small subunit ribosomal RNA", at positions 338 to 795 of the family's 1533-position model. The record is from RNAcentral.
CCUACGGGGGGCAGCAGUGAGGAAUAUUGGUCAAUGGGCGCGAGCCUGAACCAGCCAAGUCGCGUGAGGGAUGACGGCCCUACGGGUUGUAAACCUCUUUUGCCGGGGAGCAACGGGCGUGACGUGUGGCGCCACUGAGAGUACCCGGCGAAAAAGCAUCGGCUAACUCCGUGCCAGCAGCCGCGGUAAUACGGAGGAUGCGAGCGUUAUCCGGAUUUAUUGGGUUAAGAGGGUGCGUAGGCGGAUCGUUAAGUCAGUGGUCAAAUUGCGGGGCUCAACCCCGUACCGCCAUUGAAACUGGCGUUCUUGAGUGGAAGAGAAGGGUGCAGAAUGCGUGGUGUAGCGGUGAAAUGCGUAGAUAUCACGCAGAAUCCCGGUUGCGAAGGCAGCCUGCCGGCUUCCGACUGACGCUGCAGCGCGAAAGCGUGGGGAUCGAACAGGAUUAGAUACCCGUGUAGUC